UACGUAGGGUGCGAGCGUUGUCCGGAAUUACUGGGCGUAAAGAGCUCGUAGGUGGCUUGUCGCGUUGUUCGUGAAAACUCACAGCUCAACUGUGGGCGUGCGGGCGAUACGGGCAGACUGGAGUACUGCAGGGGAGACUGGAAUUCCUGGUGUAGCGGUGGAAUGCGCAGAUAUCAGGAGGAACACCGGUGGCGAAGGCGGGUCUCUGGGCAGUAACUGACGCUGAGGAGCGAAAGCGUGGGGAGCGAACAGG
Molecule: ribosomal RNA, 253 nt
Filed under: uncultured bacterium
Lineage: Bacteria
Description: partial 16S ribosomal RNA
Rfam family: Bacterial small subunit ribosomal RNA
Source: RNAcentral